RNAcentral lists this ribosomal RNA (580 nucleotides) under Pichia kudriavzevii. RNAcentral describes it as "partial large subunit ribosomal RNA". It matches the Rfam family "Eukaryotic large subunit ribosomal RNA", at positions 37 to 493 of the family's 3401-position model. The record is from RNAcentral. Lineage: Eukaryota; Fungi; Ascomycota; Pichiomycetes; Pichiales; Pichiaceae.
UGCAUAUCAAUAAGCGGAGGAAAAGAAACCAACAGGGAUUGCCUCAGUAGCGGCGAGUGAAGCGGCAAGAGCUCAGAUUUGAAAUCGUGCUUUGCGGCACGAGUUGUAGAUUGCAGGUUGGAGUCUGUGUGGAAGGCGGUGUCCAAGUCCCUUGGAACAGGGCGCCCAGGAGGGUGAGAGCCCCGUGGGAUGCCGGCGGAAGCAGUGAGGCCCUUCUGACGAGUCGAGUUGUUUGGGAAUGCAGCUCCAAGCGGGUGGUAAAUUCCAUCUAAGGCUAAAUACUGGCGAGAGACCGAUAGCGAACAAGUACUGUGAAGGAAAGAUGAAAAGCACUUUGAAAAGAGAGUGAAACAGCACGUGAAAUUGUUGAAAGGGAAGGGUAUUGCGCCCGACAUGGGGAUUGCGCACCGCUGCCUCUCGUGGGCGGCGCUCUGGGCUUUCCCUGGGCCAGCAUCGGUUCUUGCUGCAGGAGAAGGGGUUCUGGAACGUGGCUCUUCGGAGUGUUAUAGCCAGGGCCAGAUGCUGCGUGCGGGGACCGAGGACUGCGGCUCGCGUAGAGGGCGGAGUGCAUGGCAGGCCG